Molecule: small RNA, 327 nt
Filed under: Histoplasma capsulatum var. duboisii H88
Lineage: Eukaryota; Fungi; Ascomycota; Eurotiomycetes; Onygenales; Ajellomycetaceae
Description: Histoplasma capsulatum H88 hypothetical RNA
Source: RNAcentral
AGCUAAUAUUAAAUAGAUCUGACUGCCAAGUCUGUUUCUCAACAGGUAUUGGCGUUAUGCCAAGUUGACAUGAACUCCAGGCUCUGUUCUGGCCUCUAUAUGCUCCUAUUCCUAGGUGGAAAUUGUUGGCAGAGAGAAGCGAGCUUCUGAAAGUCCCAAAAUACUAGCGCAGUACUAAUGGGGGCCACGAGGAUGUCACUCCCGCAGUAAUAAUUUAAGAAUUGGGAAUAUAGUUAACUAUUUGGUUUUGCUUAUGAAAUUCCGGACUACAAUAUCAACUGGUUAAGGCUGCUGCAAGAUGUGUUCCAUGAAUUAGCUAGUAGUGAU